AGCGAACGCUGGCGGCAGGCCUAACACAUGCAAGUCGAACGAAGUCUUCGGACUUAGUGGCGGACGGGUGAGUAACACGUGGGAACGUACCUUUUGGUUCGGAACAACUCAGGGAAACUUGAGCUAAUACCGGAUAAGCCCUUCGGGGGAAAGAUUUAUCGCCAUUAGAGCGGCCCGCGUUAGAUUAGCUAGUUGGUGAGGUAAAGGCUCACCAAGGCUACGAUCUAUAGCUGGUCUGAGAGGAUGAUCAGCCACACUGGGACUGAGACACGGCCCAGACUCCUACGGGAGGCAGCAGUGGGGAAUCUUGCGCAAUGGGCGAAAGCCUGACGCAGCCAUGCCGCGUGAAUGAUGAAGGUCUUAGGAUUGUAAAAUUCUUUUACCAGGGACGAUAAUGACGGUCCUGGAGAAAAAGCCCCGGCUAACUUCGUGCCAGCAGCCGCCGCCG
This 448-nucleotide ribosomal RNA is filed under the name uncultured bacterium. RNAcentral describes it as "partial 16S ribosomal RNA". It matches the Rfam family "Bacterial small subunit ribosomal RNA", at positions 29 to 523 of the family's 1533-position model. The record is from RNAcentral.